GAUGAACGCUGGCGGCGUGCCUAAUACAUGCAAGUCGAACGCAUAGCGAAAGGUGCUUGCACCUUUCAAGUGAGUGGCGAACGGGUGAGUAACACGUGGACAACCUGCCUCAAGGCUGGGGAUAACAUUUGGAAACAGAUGCUAAUACCGAAUAAAACUUAGUGUCGCAUGACACAAAGUUAAAAGGCGCUUCGGCGUCACCUAGAGAUGGAUCCGCGGUGCAUUAGUUAGUUGGUGGGGUAAAGGCCUACCAAGACAAUGAUGCAUAGCCGAGUUGAGAGCAUGAUCGGCCACACUGGGACUGAGACACGGCCCAAAAUCCUACGGGAGGCUGCAGUAGGGAAUCUUCCACACAGGGCGAAAGCCUGAUGGAGCAACGCCGCGUGUGUGAUGAAGGCUUUCGGGUCGUAAAGCACUGUUGUAUGGGAAGAACAGCUAGAAUAGGAAAUGAUUUUAGUUUGACGGUACCAUACCAGAAAGGGACGGCUAAAUACGUG
Molecule: ribosomal RNA, 497 nt
Filed under: uncultured bacterium
Lineage: Bacteria
Description: partial 16S ribosomal RNA
Rfam family: Bacterial small subunit ribosomal RNA
Source: RNAcentral